CAAUAAKCGGAGGAAAGAAACCAACAGGGAUUGCCCUAGUAACGGCGAGUGAAGCGGCAACAGCUCAAAUUUGAAAUCUGGCCCUCGGGUCCGAGUUGUAAUUUGUAGAGGAUGCUUUUGGCGCGGUGCCUUCCGAGUUCUCUGGAACGAGACGCCUUAGAGGGUGAGAGCCCCGUACGGUUGGACACCAAGCCUCUGUAAAGCUCCUUCGACGAGUCGAGUAGUUUGGGAAUGCUGCUCUAAAUGGGAGGUAAAUUUCUUCUAAAGCUAAAUAUUGGCCAGAGACCGAUAGCGCACAAGUAGAGUGAUCGAAAGAUGAAAAGCACUUUGAAAAGAGGGUUAAAUAGCACGUGAAAUUGUUGAAAGGGAAGCGUUUGCGACCAGACCUUUUCCUAGCGGAUCAUCCGGUGUUCUCACCGGUGCACUUCGCUAGGUUUAGGCCAGCAUCGGUUUCUGUAGGGGGAUAAAAGCUCUGGGAACGUAGCUCCUCCGGGAGUGUUAUAGCCCUCUGCAUAAUACCCUUACGGGGACCGAGGACCGCGCUUUUAGCAAGGAUGCUGGCGUAAUGGUCGUCAACGACCCGUCUUGAAACACGGACCAAGGAGUCGAACAUUUGUGCGAGUGUUUGGGUGUUAAACCCUCACGCGUAAUGAAGGUGAACGUAGGUGAGAGCCCUUUACGGGUGCAUCAUCGACCGAUCCUGAUGUCUUCGGAUGGAUUUGAGUAAGAGCAUAACUGUUCGGACCCGAAAGAUGGUGAACUAUGCGUGGAUAGGGUGAAGCCAGAGGAAACUCUGGUGGAGGCUCGCAGCGGUUCUGACGUGCAAAUCGAUCGUCAAAUCUGCGCAUGGGGGCGAAAGACUUAUCGAAYCAUCUAGCCGUAGCUGGUUACCGCCGAAGUUUCCCCUCAGGAAAGUAA
RNAcentral lists this ribosomal RNA (918 nucleotides) under Xylaria curta. RNAcentral describes it as "partial large subunit ribosomal RNA". The record is from RNAcentral. Lineage: Eukaryota; Fungi; Ascomycota; Sordariomycetes; Xylariales; Xylariaceae.